GAUGAACGCUAGCUACAGGCUUAACACAUGCAAGUCGAGGGGCAGCAUGGUCUUAGCUUGCUAAGGCCGAUGGCGACCGGCGCACGGGUGAGUAACACGUAUCCAACCUGCCGUCUACUCUUGGACAGCCUUCUGAAAGGAAGAUUAAUACAAGAUGGCAUCAUGAGUCCGCAUGUUCACAUGAUUAAGGGUAUUCCGGUAGACGAUGGGGAUGCGUUCCAUUAGAUAGUAGGCGGGGUAACGGCCCACCUAGUCUUCGAUGGAUAGGGGUUCUGAGAGGAAGGUCCCCCACAUUGGAACUGAGACACGGUCCAAACUCCUACGGGAGGCAGCAGUGAGGAAUAUUGGUCAAUGGGCGAGAGCCUGAACCAGCCAAGUAGCGUGAAGGACGACUGCCCUAUGGGUUGUAAACUUCUUUUAUAAAGGAAUAAAGUCGGGUAUGGAUACCCGUUUGCAUGUACUUUAUGAAUAAGGAUCGGCUAACUCCGUG
This 490-nucleotide ribosomal RNA is filed under the name uncultured bacterium. Its description in RNAcentral is "partial 16S ribosomal RNA". It matches the Rfam family "Bacterial small subunit ribosomal RNA", at positions 28 to 507 of the family's 1533-position model. The record is from RNAcentral.